Molecule: ribosomal RNA, 683 nt
Filed under: Rhizoctonia solani
Lineage: Eukaryota; Fungi; Basidiomycota; Agaricomycetes; Cantharellales; Ceratobasidiaceae
Description: eukaryotic LSU rRNA
Rfam family: 5.8S ribosomal RNA (bases 230-383)
Source: RNAcentral
ACGGACUAAUGAUUUUAUGAGGGAUUUGGUUGUAGCUGGCUCAUGAAUUUGAGCAUGUGCACACCUUUUCUCUUUCAUCCACACACACCUGUGCACCUGUGAGGCAGAUGGGGAAUUUGCUGAUUGUUUUUUUUUUAAACAAUUGGUGCUGGACCCUCCGUCGACUUUUUCCAAUAUAAACUCCUUAUAUUUUUUUAAUGAAGGUUGCGGAGGUUGCACCUCUUAUACUAAGUUUCUUCAACGGAUCUCUUGGCUCUCCCCUCGAUGAAGAACACCGCGAAAUGCGGUAAGUAAUGUGGAUUGCUGAAUUCUUUGAAGCAUCGAAUCUUUGAACGCCCCUUGCGCUCCUUGGUGUUCCUUGGAGCAUGCCGGUUGGAGGAUCAUGAAAUCUUCAAAGAAGAUCCUUUUGUUAACUCCACUGGUGCUGCUUUGGUUUUGGAGGACUUCGCAGCUUCACACCUGCUCCUCUUUGUGGAUUAUCUGGAGCUCCGCGUUAUGCUUGGUGCCUCUCGGCGUGAUAAGUUAUCUAUCGCUGACGAAACAGUAAAAAAAGGCCGACGGAAAUGAACAUGAACCACCUCCUAUGGUCGAUCUAUUCAGACGAUAAAUUCUUUAUGAUUUGAUCUCACAUCAAGCAGGACUAACUGCUGAACUUAAUCAUAUCAUCAAGCGGGAGGAAAGAA